AGGAAAGGGGACGGCGCCGGCGGGGCUAGGAGCCGCCGUCACCGUCGAGUCACUGAGAGAAAGAGAGAGAGGCCGCGACUGGAAGGAGAGAGAGAAGCCGCCUCGCAUCUUGCUGUCGCUGCCGCCGUCGCCCUCAUCUCGGAUCGCCAUCGUCGCCGUCGCGGGGGAAGACCGGAGCUUCUGGUAGCCGCCAUCGAAGCAGAGUCGCGAAGAGAAAGAGCCCGCGGGUGAGAAAGCGAGCGUUGCAUCAGCCACCCUCAUCGACGUUCAUGCAUCGCCACUGCUGCUCCUGUCCGCAACGCCAGCUUCCACUGCCGUCGCAUCUCUCUUCACUGCCGCCAACAAGAACGCACGCGAGGAGCAGACGCGCGGAAGGAGGAAGACGGAGGGAGAAGGCGGCGCUGCUCGCGUUGCUGUGCCCAAUUGCCGUCUGCAGAGCCGCCGCUGGGAGUUACCGUCGGAGAUGUCGUUGCUCUGUGCUAGCGUUCUUCCUGAGUGCGAUGUUGGUACAGUAGGGCUGAGUUCCAGUGUUUGCACGUCGAAAUUAAGGUUGCUGUUGAACCACCGGGGCUUCUGGCCGCUAUCGGAGCUGCUGCCGAGUCAGUUCGGGAUUGCGGCUGCUCCGUUCUGCUAUUACCAUAUGCUGCUAUAGCUUGCUAGGAGAGAAAAGAGUGCUGGAAUAAAACCAGAUGUUGAUCUUGAUAUCUUCAUGAAGUCAAUAGCUUUUGGAGGACAGGAAACAGAUCUUGUGGUAGAGUACAUCAUAAAGGUAUUCAUUAAGCAAAUUGCGAAAUAGUUUAAUAUUUGUUGAGUUGAUAAAAAUGUAAAAAUAGAGAUUAAUAGGCUCUAGCUACUAGUAUCCCGUUUCAAUACAACUUACAUCAUAUUGACAUUUUUAUAAGUCUUCCAAACUCCUAAGUGUUAAGAUAUUUUCCACAAAGAUAUUAGGUUUGGACAUAUGUGGAAACACAUUGGUGGGCGAUGAAAUGCUCAAGAGCAUCUCAGAGGGACAAAAGAAGCGACUUAUAACAGGUUUAUUAUAACAUUGACAUAUAAUUUGUCUUAUAUUUUAGUAUGUGCUAUGCUAACCAAUUGAUGUGAGAUUUGCAGGAGACUUACUGAUUAAAAAUAUGUUGAUAAUUUUGUUAAUUUAAGUUUUAUUAAUUGUAAUUGUUAUUGCCAAUGAUGGCUUCUUGAUUUCUCUUUUUUAUUCAUUUAUUUAUUUUGUUAAUUGUUAUUGUCA
Arachis duranensis is the source of this 1243-nucleotide long non-coding RNA. RefSeq lists it as uncharacterized. Lineage: Eukaryota; Viridiplantae; Streptophyta; Magnoliopsida; Fabales; Fabaceae. The transcript is spliced from 4 exons. The record is from RefSeq and is a predicted model, not a curated record.